This 245-nucleotide transfer-messenger RNA is filed under the name Ignavibacteria bacterium GWB2_36_8. RNAcentral's name for it is "partial transfer-messenger RNA". It matches the Rfam family "transfer-messenger RNA", at positions 1 to 257 of the family's 374-position model. From Rfam's summary of the family: Bacterial tmRNA, also known as 10Sa RNA or SsrA, is named for its dual tRNA and mRNA-like properties. The record is from RNAcentral. Lineage: Bacteria; Pseudomonadati; Ignavibacteriota; Ignavibacteria.
GGGGGUGAAAUUGGCUUCGACGGGGUUGAAGAGACAUUGAACUGCACAUCGUGUUCCCCGAGUACACGUUAAACAAUUGGGAAUAAAACAAUAACUGGCGAAUAUAACUACGCCUUAGCUGCUUAAUUAAACAAGCAGCCGUUCUCCUUUCUCUCUCAUGCCGGGGUUUGGAAGAACGUCGUUUAGGUAUGAUAGCUGAUUCUGCUGCCUGUGCUGAUGAUGCGAAACUAAAGCAGGCAAGCUUA